This 774-nucleotide ribosomal RNA is filed under the name uncultured Neocallimastigales. RNAcentral describes it as "partial large subunit ribosomal RNA". It matches the Rfam family "Eukaryotic large subunit ribosomal RNA", at positions 24 to 634 of the family's 3401-position model. Lineage: Eukaryota; Fungi; Neocallimastigomycota; Neocallimastigomycetes; Neocallimastigales. The record is from RNAcentral.
UAUGUGAUCGUCUCUCGCAUAUCAAUAAGCGGAGGAAAAGAAACUAACAAGGAUUCCCCUAGUAACGGCGAGUGAAGCGGGAAGAGCUCAAAUUUGAAAUCUUAAAGGGUUUCCCUUUACGAAUUGUAGUUUAAAGAAGUGUUUUCUGUUGAGGUUUUGGUAAAAGUUCUUUGGAAUAGGACAUCAUAGAGGGUGAGAAUCCCGUAUUUGACCUUUACUUUCAACUUUGUGAUACACUUUCAAAGAGUCGGAUUGUUUGGGAAUGCAGUCCAAAAUGGGUGGUAAAUUUCAUCUAAAGCUAAAUAUUGGCGAGAGACCGAUAGCGAACAAGUACCGUGAGGGAAAGAUGAAAAGAACUUUGAAAAGAGAGUUAAACAGUACGUGAAAUUGUCAAAAGGGAAGCGUUUGACACCAGUGUUGUUUUUCUGAAAAUCAAUUAAAGAACUGUUUAUGCUAAGUUGUUUAGACUUUAUCAGCUAACUGUUUAGUUUUAGGCUUUUCUUUAAUGCACUUUUCAGUUAACAAGUCAACAUCAAUUUCUUUUGCUGUAAAAAAGCUUGAGGAAGGUGGCUUGAGAUUCGUCUUAAGUGUUUAUAGCCUCUUGCCUAUGCAGUCGGAGAGAUUGAGGUCUGCAGCGUAGAUCCUUCGGGGCUAAAUGCAUUUGUGCUAAGUUAUAGCAUUUUAUAGACAACUUGUUGACUAUGAUUUGUCUUGUAGCUUACUCGCUUAUGUUAUUUUACCUACGCUUAGGAUGUUGAUCUACAGAGCGAGAGU